Perognathus longimembris pacificus (Pacific pocket mouse) is the source of this 334-nucleotide long non-coding RNA. RefSeq lists it as uncharacterized. The record is from RefSeq and is a predicted model, not a curated record. Lineage: Eukaryota; Metazoa; Chordata; Mammalia; Rodentia; Heteromyidae. The transcript has 3 exons.
UAUUCACAGGGUGUAGACAUCUUGAAAACACCUCACAGGAAACAAUGGCCAUUGAAGUCUCCUGUGGAUUACUUCAGAAGUUCGCCAGGGAGAGGAGGACCCAGCAUGCCUCUGGGUUCUGGUCCAUGUUGUCAUUGUAUUCCUCCCUGUCCCACAGCCUAGUGAAAGCUCAAAAACACAGUGUGUGAGGGCUGGGAGCGUGGCUUAGCGGGAGAGUGGUAGAGUGCUUGCCUAGCAUCCAUGAAGCCCUGGGUUCGAUUCCUCAGCACCACAUAAACAGAAAAGGGCAGGAGUGGCACUGUGACUCAAGUGGUAGAAACAUGAACAAAAGAAG